GUGUAUUAAAAGUAGCACGUCUACUAAAAUUAGAACGAUAGAACGAUAUGGAGAUUAGCAUGGCCCCUGCGAAAGGAUGACACAAAUCAUGAAGCCGUCCAUAUUUUU
Molecule: small nuclear RNA, 108 nt
Organism: Nannospalax galili (Upper Galilee mountains blind mole rat)
Lineage: Eukaryota; Metazoa; Chordata; Mammalia; Rodentia; Spalacidae
Source: Ensembl